RNAcentral lists this ribosomal RNA (253 nucleotides) under uncultured bacterium. RNAcentral describes it as "partial 16S ribosomal RNA". It matches the Rfam family "Bacterial small subunit ribosomal RNA", at positions 524 to 776 of the family's 1533-position model. The record is from RNAcentral.
UACGAAGGGUGCAAGCGUUACUCGGAAUUACUGGGCGUAAAGCGUGCGUAGGUGGUUCGUUAAGUCUGAUGUGAAAGCCCUGGGCUCAACCUGGGAAUUGCAUUGGAUACUGGCGCGCUAGAGUGAGGUAGAGGAGAGUGGAAUUCCCGGUGUAGCAGUGAAAUGCGUAGAGAUCGGGAGGAACAUCAGUUGCGAAGGCGGCUCUCUGGACCAUCACUGACACUGAGGCACGAAAGCGUGGGGAGCAAACAGG